Molecule: transfer RNA, 72 nt
Filed under: Pyrenophora tritici-repentis Pt-1C-BFP
Lineage: Eukaryota; Fungi; Ascomycota; Dothideomycetes; Pleosporales; Pleosporaceae
Also listed under: 1 other name
Description: tRNA-Cys (GCA) (tRNA-Cys-GCA-1-1, tRNA-Cys-GCA-1-2)
Rfam family: tRNA
About the family: Transfer RNA (tRNA) molecules are approximately 80 nucleotides in length. Their secondary structure includes four short double-helical elements and three loops (D, anti-codon, and T loops). Further hydrogen bonds mediate the characteristic L-shaped molecular structure. tRNAs have two regions of fundamental functional importance: the anti-codon, which is responsible for specific mRNA codon recognition, and the 3' end, to which the tRNAs corresponding amino acid is attached (by aminoacyl-tRNA synthetases). tRNAs cope with the degeneracy of the genetic code in two manners: having more than one tRNA (with a specific anti-codon) for a particular amino acid; and 'wobble' base-pairing, i.e. permitting non-standard base-pairing at the 3rd anti-codon position.
Source: RNAcentral
GGGCCGGUAACUCAGUGGUAGAGUGUAGGACUGCAGUUCCCGAAGCCACCGGUUCGACUCCGGUUCGGCCCU